RNAcentral lists this ribosomal RNA (443 nucleotides) under uncultured bacterium. Its description in RNAcentral is "partial 16S ribosomal RNA". It matches the Rfam family "Bacterial small subunit ribosomal RNA", at positions 338 to 795 of the family's 1533-position model. The record is from RNAcentral.
CCUACGGGAGGCAGCAGUGGGGAAUAUUGGGCAAUGGGCGCAAGCCUGACCCAGCAACGCCGCGUGAAGGAAGAAGGCUUUCGGGUUGUAACCUUCUUUUAUCAGGGACGAAGCAAGUAACGGUACCUGAUGACUAAGCCACGGCUAACUACGUGCCCGCAGCCGCGGUAAUACGUAGGUGGCAAGCGUUAUCCGGAUUUACUGGGUGUAAAGGGAGGGUAGGCGGGAGUGCAAGUCAGAUGUGAAAACUAUGGGCUCAACCCAUAGCCUGCAUUUGAAACUGUACUUCUUGAGUGCUGGAGAGGCAAUCGGAAUUCCGUGUGUAGCGGUGAAAUGCGUAGAUAUACGGAGGAACACCAGUGGCGAAGGCGGAUUGCUGGACAGUAACUGACGCUGAGGCGCGAAAGCGUGGGGAGCAAACAGGAUUAGAUACCCGGGUAGUC